UAUUCAGCCUGGGGACUGUAAGAUGGUAAAGCUUUAAUAUUAAAAGGAGCAGAGGAGGAAAAACAAAAGGAAAAAGAAAAGACAAGAAUAAAACCUGAAAGAAGGCAUACAGGAAAAGAGGCUAACUUCUGUUCACUAAUUGGCUGAAGACAAUUUUCGUGUUAUGAGACCUGUGGACAGACUCAGUGACCAAAGAAAUGACAGAGGCAUCUAACCAACAACAAGAACCUGAGACCCUUGGUGACUAGUCCAUUCCCACUUAACUCUCUCUGCCUCAUGGUUGUGUCUCAGGAUGUCAGCUCUCAGCAUCAUGGCUACUGACAUGUCCCCUGCUGUGGUGGUCACAGACUCAUCCUCUGAAACUGUAAGCCCUAAUAAACUCUUUCUUCCAUAA
Mesocricetus auratus (golden hamster) is the source of this 394-nucleotide long non-coding RNA. RefSeq lists it as uncharacterized. The record is from RefSeq and is a predicted model, not a curated record. Lineage: Eukaryota; Metazoa; Chordata; Mammalia; Rodentia; Cricetidae. The transcript is spliced from 2 exons.